This 778-nucleotide ribosomal RNA is filed under the name uncultured Neocallimastigales. RNAcentral's name for it is "partial large subunit ribosomal RNA". It matches the Rfam family "Eukaryotic large subunit ribosomal RNA", at positions 24 to 646 of the family's 3401-position model. The record is from RNAcentral. Lineage: Eukaryota; Fungi; Neocallimastigomycota; Neocallimastigomycetes; Neocallimastigales.
GUAGUCUCGCACAGAUGCAUAUCAAUAAGCGGAGGAAAAGAAACUAACAAGGAUUCCCCUAGUAACGGCGAGUGUAAGCGGGAAGAGCUCAAAUUUGAAAUCUUAAAGGGUUUCCCUUUACGAAUUGUAGUUUAAAGAAGUGUUUUCUGUUGAGGUUUUGGUAAAAGUUCUUUGGAAUAGGACAUCAUAGAGGGUGAGAAUCCCGUAUUUGACCUUUACUUUCAACUUUGUGAUACACUUUCAAAGAGUCGGAUUGUUUGGGAAUGCAGUCCAAAAUGGGUGGUAAAUUUCAUCUAAAGCUAAAUAUUGGCGAGAGACCGAUAGCGAACAAGUACCGUGAGGGAAGAGAUGAAAAGAACUUUGAAAAGAGAGUUAAACAGUACGUGAAAUUGUCAAAAGGGAAGCGUUUGACACCAGUGUUGUUUUUCUGAAAAUCAAUUAAAGAACUGUUUAUGCUAAGUUCGUUUAGACUUUAUCAGCUAAUCUGUUUAGUUUUGAGCUUUUCUUUAAUGCACUUUUCAGUUAACAAGUCAACAUCAAUUUCUUUUGCUGUAAAAAAGCUUGAGGAAGGUGGCUUGAGAUUCGUCUUAAGUGUUUAUAGCCUCUUGCCUAUGCAGUCGGAGAGAUUGAGGUCUGCAGCGUAGAUCCUUCGGGGCUAAAUGCAUUUGUGCUAAGUUAUAGCAUUUUAUAGACAACUUGUUGACUAUGAUUUGUCUUGUAGCUUACUCGCUUAUGUUAUUUUACCUACGCUUAGGAUGUUGAUCUGUAGUGCGUGCGC